AACGAACGCUGGCGGCAUGCCUAACACAUGCAAGUCGAACGAGACCUUCGGGUCUAGUGGCGCACGGGUGCGUAACGCGUUGGAACCUUCCCUUAGGUUCGGAAUAACUCCCCUUAAGGGGUGCUAAUACCGGUUAAUGUCUUCUGACCAAAGAUUUAUCGCCUUUGGUUGGGCCCGCAUUGGAUUAGCUAGUUGGUAGGGUAAAAGCCUACCAAGGCGAGGAUCCAUAGCUGGUUUGAGAGGAAGAUCAGCCACACUGAGACUGGGACACGGCGCAGACUACUACGGGAGGGAGCAGUGGGGAAUAUUGGACAAUGGGGGAAAGGCUGAACCAGCAAUGGCGCGUGAGUGAUGAAGGCGUUAGGGUAGUAAAGCAGUUUUACACGGGAUGAUAAUGACAGUACCGGGAGAAUAAGCUCCGGCUAACUCCGUG
Molecule: ribosomal RNA, 433 nt
Filed under: uncultured bacterium
Lineage: Bacteria
Description: partial 16S ribosomal RNA
Rfam family: Bacterial small subunit ribosomal RNA
Source: RNAcentral